UACGUGGGGGGCAAGCGUUGUCCGGAAUCAUUGGGCGUAAAGAGCGUGUAGGCGGCCCGAUAAGUCCGCUGUGAAAGUCCAGGGCUCAACCCUGGAAUGCCGGUGGAUACUGUCGGGCUCGAAUCCGGAAGAGGUGAGUGGAAUUCCUGGUGUAGCGGUGAAAUGCGCAGAUAUCAGGAAGAACACCUAUGGCGAAGGCAGCUCUCUGGGACGGUACUGACGCUGAGACGCGAAAGCGUGGGGAGCGAACAGG
This 253-nucleotide ribosomal RNA is filed under the name uncultured bacterium. RNAcentral's name for it is "partial 16S ribosomal RNA". It matches the Rfam family "Bacterial small subunit ribosomal RNA", at positions 524 to 776 of the family's 1533-position model. The record is from RNAcentral.